GGGCCUUGCCGCUUUCUCUCUUCUUCCUGCAGUCUUCCAUGUGAGCAGAAGUCCCCAAGAAAGAGCUAUGGGUCUAUUUGAAAUGGCAGUUCAACCUUGCUUCCCAAUAUGCAGAAUGCAGGUACUGGGUGACACCAAAGGUGCAAGACCAAAACCAUCAAAUGAGAACACAACAUGCAGGUGAAUGGAGAUCUGUCAUUUGUAAAUGAAAACUGCUCAUUCAGGCGUCUAUCCGCUUGACCUCUUGGUGUUGCAGAGCUGUAACAAAGUACAUUCACAUCUGUAAUUUACAGGUAUGGUGCUACGUUGGGAGUGACGUGACAUUUCCAUGAGAGAAUUGCUGCCAACUUUCCGGCUAGGCACAAACACUACUGAAGAAAACCAACUUGGAUCGGAGCUUUCUUGCAGCUGUGAAAUGCAUGAAUGAGUUGACCUGGCUCUUUAACCUUCUAAGACCUGAACUCUUCCAUGGCAUGCUUUUUUGUUUUUUUUUUUUUUUUUUUUUUUAAAAAUGGUCUAAAUAAGCCAAAAAUGUGAAAUCCACAUAUGUGGACGCCAGGUCCUAAGAGGUUAAGGGCUGAACCUAAGAAAAUGAACCCUGUGUGUGACAAUUGCAGAUUGUAAUAAAACUGACUUGACUACCUCUGGAAA
Molecule: long non-coding RNA, 651 nt
Organism: Maylandia zebra (zebra mbuna)
Lineage: Eukaryota; Metazoa; Chordata; Actinopteri; Cichliformes; Cichlidae
Source: RefSeq, a predicted model, not a curated record